GGGUUGUGAGGUUAAGCGACUAAGCGUACACGGUGGAUGCCUAGGCAAUCAGAGGCGAUGAAGGACGUGCUAAUCUGCGAUAAGCGUCGGUAAGGUGAUAUGAACCGUGAUAACCGACGAUUUCCGAAUGGGGAAACCCAGUGCAACUCGUUGCACUAUCGUUUGAUGAAUACAUAGUCAAACGAAGCGAACCGGGGGAACUGAAACAUCUCAGUACCCCGAGGAAAAGAAAUCAACCGAGAUUCCCCUAGUAGCGGCGAGCGAACGGGGAGCAGCCCAGAGUCUUAAUCAACAUUAGCAUCAGGAGAACGGUCUGGAAAGGCCGGCAGUAAAGGGUGAUAGCCCCGUAUCCGAAGGUGUUAGUGUUGUGAACUCGACGAGUAGGGCGGGACACGUGUUAUCCUGUCUGAAUAUGGGGGGACCAUCCUCCAAGGCUAAAUACUCCUGAUUGACCGAUAGUGAACCAGUACCGUGAGGGAAAGGCGAAAAGAACCCCGGCGAGGGGAGUGAAAUAGAACCUGAAACCGUGUACGUACAAGCAGUGGGAGCCCCACCACCAAAGCAUUUUCUGGUGUUGAGGACAAUUUUGAAGUGACAUUCAACACGCGUUGGCGGAGCGUUUUUUGCGACGCCCAACACAUAAAACAAGCAGUGAAUGUGCUUUGGGGUGGGGUGACUGCGUACCUUUUGUAUAAUGGGUCAGCGACUUAUAUUCUGUAGCAAGGUUAACCGUAUAGGGGAGCCGUAGGGAAACCGAGUCUUAACUGGGCGAAUAAGUUGCAGGGUAUAGACCCGAAACCCGGUGAUCUAGCCAUGGGCAGGUUGAAGGUUGGGUAACACUAACUGGAGGACCGAACCGACUAAUGUUGAAAAAUUAGCGGAUGACUUGUGGCUGGGGGUGAAAGGCCAAUCAAACCGGGAGAUAGCUGGUUCUCCCCGAAAGCUAUUUAGGUAGCGCCUCGUGAACUCAUCUUCGGGGUAGAGCACUGUUUCGACUAGGGGGUCAUCCCGACUUACCAACUCGAUGCAAACUACGAAUACCGAAGAAUGUUAUCACGGGAGACACACGGCGGGUGCUAACGUUCGUCGUGAAGAGGGAAACAACCCAGACCGCCAGCUAAGGUCCCAAAGUCAUAGUUAAGUGGGAAACGAAGUGGGAAGGCUCAGACAGCCAGGAUGUUGGCUUAGAAGCAGCCAUCAUUUAAAGAAAGCGUAAUAGCUCACUGGUCGAGUCGGCCUGCGCGGAAGAUGUAACGGGGCUAAACUAUGCACCGAAGCUGCGGCAGCGAACGUAUCACUUAAACUGAUUAAGUGAUAUUCAAUAGUAUCAGAACGAUUGACGGAGCAACGCGACGUCAAUGCGUCCAACAAAGUCGAGGCGGAAACGUCAGACAGUCAGUUUAAGGAUACGUUCGUUGGGUAGGGGAGCGUUCUGUAAGCCUGUGAAGGUGUACUGCGAGGUAUGCUGGAGGUAUCAGAAGUGCGAAUGCUGACAUAAGUAACGAUAAUGCGGGUGAAAAACCCGCACGCCGGAAGACCAAGGGUUCCUGUCCAACGUUAAUCGGGGCAGGGUGAGUCGACCCCUAAGGCGAGGCAGAAAUGCGUAGUCGAUGGGAAACGGGUUAAUAUUCCCGUACUGGUGAUAAUUGCGAUGGGGGACGGAGAAGGCUAGGCUAUCCGGGCGACGGUUGUCCCGGUUUAAGGAUGUAGGCAGGUGAAUUAGGCAAAUCCGGUUCAUUAUAUGCUGAGGUCCGACGACGAGUCACUACGGUGAUGAAGUAGCUCAUGCCCCGCUUCCAGGAAAAGCCUCUAAGCUCUAGAUUAUCAUUAAUCGUACCCCAAACCGACACAGGUGGUCAGGUAGAGAAUACUCAGGCGCUUGAGAGAACUCGGGUGAAGGAACUAGGCAAAAUGGUGCCGUAACUUCGGGAGAAGGCACGCUGGCGCUAGGUGAAGUCCCUCGCGGAUGGAGCUGAAGCCAGUCGCAGAUACCAGCUGGCUGCAACUGUUUAUUAAAAACACAGCACUGUGCAAACACGAAAGUGGACGUAUACGGUGUGACGCCUGCCCGGUGCUGGAAGGUUAAUUGAUGGGGUUAUCCGUAAGGAGAAGCUCUUGAUCGAAGCCCCAGUAAACGGCGGCCGUAACUAUAACGGUCCUAAGGUAGCGAAAUUCCUUGUCGGGUAAGUUCCGACCUGCACGAAUGGCGUAAUGAUGGCCAGGCUGUCUCCACCCGAGACUCAGUGAAAUUGAACUCGCUGUGAAGAUGCAGUGUACCCGCGGCAAGACGGAAAGACCCCGUGAACCUUUACUAUAGCUUGACACUGAACAUUGAGCCUUGAUGUGUAGGAUAGGUGGGAGGCUUUGAAGUGUGGACGCCAGUCUGCAUGGAGCCAACCUUGAAAUACCACCCUUUAAUGUUUGAUGUUCUAACGUAGCCCCGUUAUCCGGGGUGCGGACAGUGUCUGGUGGGUAGUUUGACUGGGGCGGUCUCCUCCCAAAGAGUAACGGAGGAGCACGAAGGUUGGCUAAGCAUGGUCGGACAUCAUGCGGUUAGUGCAAAGGCAUAAGCCAGCUUGACUGCGAGAGUGACGGCUCGAGCAGGUACGAAAGUAGGUCUUAGUGAUCCGGUGGUUCUGAAUGGAAGGGCCAUCGCUCAACGGAUAAAAGGUACUCCGGGGAUAACAGGCUGAUACCGCCCAAGAGUUCAUAUCGACGGCGGUGUUUGGCACCUCGAUGUCGGCUCAUCACAUCCUGGGGCUGAAGUAGGUCCCAAGGGUACGGCUGUUCGCCGUUUAAAGUGGUACGCGAGCUGGGUUUAGAACGUCGUGAGACAGUUCGGUCCCUAUCUGCCGUGGGCGUUGGAAGAUUGAAAGGGGCUGCUCCUAGUACGAGAGGACCGGAGUGGACGCACCACUGGUGUUCGGGUUGUCAUGCCAAUGGCAUUGCCCGGUAGCUAAGUGCGGAAGAGAUAACCGCUGAAAGCAUCUAAGCGGGAAACUUGCCUUGAGAUGAGUCUUCCCUGACUCUUUAAGGGUCCUAAAGGAACGUUUAAGACUAAGACGUUGAUAGGUUGGGUGUGUAAGCGUAGCGAUACGUUGAGCUAACCAAUACUAAUGAACCGUGAGGCUUAACCUGACAACACCGAAGGUGUUUUAG
Molecule: ribosomal RNA, 3159 nt
Filed under: Providencia rettgeri
Lineage: Bacteria; Pseudomonadati; Pseudomonadota; Gammaproteobacteria; Enterobacterales; Morganellaceae
Description: bacterial LSU rRNA
Rfam family: Bacterial large subunit ribosomal RNA
Source: RNAcentral